RNAcentral lists this ribosomal RNA (484 nucleotides) under uncultured bacterium. Its description in RNAcentral is "partial 16S ribosomal RNA". It matches the Rfam family "Bacterial small subunit ribosomal RNA", at positions 29 to 507 of the family's 1533-position model. The record is from RNAcentral.
AUUGAACGCUGGCGGAAUGCUUUACACAUGCAAGUCGAACGGCAGCACGGGGGCAGCCCUGAUGGCGAGUGGCGAACGGGUGAGUAAUACAUCGGAACGUGCCCGGUCGUGGGGGAUAACGUAGCGAAAGUUACGCUAAUACCGCAUACGAUCUGAGGAUGAAAGCGGGGGACCUUCGGGCCUCGCGCGAUCGGAGCGGGCGAUGUCAGAUUAGGUAGUGGGUGGGGUAAAGGCGUACCAAGCCGACGAUCUGUAGCUGGUCUGAGAGGACGACCAGCCACACUGGGACUGAGACACGGCCCAGACUCCUACGGGAGGCAGCAGUGGGGAAUUUUGGACAAUGGGCGCAAGCCUGAUCCAGCCAUUCCGCGUGCAGGACGAAGGCCUUCGGGUUGUAAACUGCUUUUGUACGGAACGAAAAGGCUCUGGCUAAUACCUGGGGCUCAUGACGGUACCGUAAGAAUAAGCACCGGCUAACUACGUG